Pipra filicauda (Wire-tailed manakin) is the source of this 3533-nucleotide long non-coding RNA. RefSeq lists it as uncharacterized. The record is from RefSeq and is a predicted model, not a curated record. Lineage: Eukaryota; Metazoa; Chordata; Aves; Passeriformes; Pipridae. The transcript is spliced from 4 exons.
UUCUAUUCUGCAGUGGUUAUCCAGCUGAUUAUCCAGAGGUGUGAGUGUGUCAUGCAGCCAGUAGUGGAUUUUUGUUAGAAUUUCUAAAAUGCUAGAAUUUAAUUUUUAUCUAUCUCAUAUGUGUUGCACUCAGGACCCAGUAAAUGCAUUUUUGUACUUCAGGAUAACAGGUUAAGAAAUAUUAAUCUUUACCUGUUAGAUGGCAAAUACAUAAAUGUUACUAACUAUUGCCUAUGGAAACUCAGAAAGGAAAGAGGAUCUGUCUGAAUGGCAGCAUCCAUCCUGGCCUUCCUCAAGGGGCUGAUUUCCCAAAGCUGAGAAGAAAUACAUGGAAAUUUGAAAGGAAAAUGUAAUAGAAAAUGGUGAACCAACACUGGUGGUUAAAAAAAAUAAAUAAACUCUUAAACAUGGCAAUCUCUCAAUUCUACAAUAGAAAAGGAUCAUUUCAGUUAAAAGUCCAUUCUGGAACAGUUACAUGAAACUGUAUUUUGUGGUAUCUCUUGAUUUUGGGUUAUUGGGGAAAUUGCAGAAUUCCUAUUUCAAGAUGACUUUGGUGAUCUGGACAGGGAAAUUCAUGUUACCAUGAUAUCUCUCUCAGGUCCAGGAUUGGGCUAAAGACAGAGAGUUGAUUUAUACAGAAUUGACAGAUUUAGAUAAAAGUAAAUGCAAGUAGAGGUGAGUUUUUUGAAAAUUUCAGUCAGAUUUAUGGCUUUUUGAUUAAGGACUUUAUUGAUAUCCAUCAAUGGACUGAGACAAGGAUGUGGAAUUUCACGUAAUAUCAUGGUUGCUUGAAGAUGGAAAAGUCUUUGGAUUUGUCAAUGUGUCUAAUAUAUUGGGAACUUGCUAGAUGUGGAAGUAGUUCGCAGUGGGAGGCCACUACCCAAAACCUGAGUGGCAUUUUUGGUGCAUCUCAGUGUGGUCCACAGUUUUCAACAUCCACACCCAGCAUCUGGGAGUACUUGCACCCUUAAGGUUUAUAAAACUUUUAAGUGACACAUAGGGCAUCAAAAUGUUAAAUGUUGAGGGCAAAUGACAGUUUUGCAAAUCAAGAUUGCUAAGACUCCACUGACACAGAAUUCACAUUCAAACAAUAUGGAUUUCAGUUCAGCAAAGUGUAGAGUACUAAUGAUUUAGAAAGAGUGAACAGUGGUGGAAGCUUUGAAAUAGGGAACUGCGUCCUCACAAGUCAAAAAGAGCUGAGGUGUUGGCAUCAGACAAUCUCAAGCCUUCAAUGGAAGGUUGUGUCAAAAAAGGCCUGCUGAGAUCUGGGGCUGUUGAUGAGAAACUAUGGAGUAGGAGAGGGGGAAAAAAGGAUUUUAAUCUAUGUGUAGUACAUUGGCAAAGGCAUUGUUGAAGCAUUUUCCUUAGCUCUGGAAAAAAUGUGUUUUAUGUUAAACAAUGUUAUGUUAUAACAAUGUUAUAAACUACAGCCAAUGUAGAAAACAGUCUCCAAAAUCAUCCAGAGACUGGAGAGAACUUUUAUGAAUGAGAAAUGCAAGACCAGUUCAGCCUGUGUAGGUAUCAAAAAGAUAACUGUGGGAUGACUCGAUGCUAAUGUAAAUUCCUUUGAGAAGAGAAAUUGCUGGGUAGUAAUGGGCUCUUCAAAGUAGCACAGAAACACACAACAGAUCAGCCACUGGAAGCUGAUGCCAGACAAACCCAAAUGAAGCCAUAAGAUAUAGUUUUAACUGUGCAUAUUGUUGUCACUGGUGCAAACUCCCAAGAGAAAUGUUUGGCCUCUGAGUUGCUGAGUUUUUUUGAAAUGAUUGAAUGCCUCUCUAGAUAGCACCCUUUAGCUCUACAAAAGUUAUUUGGCUUGUUUUGUUGGGAACUGGGUAAAAUUUAGUCACAUGUGGUACACAUGAUGUAAUUCAAAAUAAUUUUUAUGUUCUUGUCUGCCUCUAAACUCCAUGUUUAAAUAAAGCUCAGGUCCUUCAUUUUGUACAGGCUGUCUGUAUUUCUUCUUCUUAUCUCCUACAAGCCUUACUUUCAGCCUCCAAUACUUAUAAACUUGAAUUGAGGAGAGGUGACUCUGCAGCUGGCCAUCCCUGAAGUGUGGCACAGUUUGAGGUCGGGCAGCUUGACCUCGUGAGCACACAAAGACUGUCCUGUGUCUGUCAGUUUUUGGUAACACCCAGAACUGUGACUAUAAGGACCAUGCAGCCCAACCCCCUGUGUCUGCAGCAUCAGCCCUUCCAGCUUUAAUCACUCCCCUUAGCCUUGUCCAUAGGAAGGAGCAGAAAAUGCCACUCAGCAAAGGCUGCGAGGCCGUGAAAUUGUGUUAAGCGACGCUCAUGAAAAUGACCGGAUUUGCUAUUUUAGUGUAAGUGUCUAAAUGUUUUUGAAAUUGUAAUUUUCUUGUGCUGCUGUGUGUAAAGGUGACCCCUGAGUGCUGGGCCCUUGGCAGUUUUCUCCAGACAGCUCAUCAGCUUGAUUCAUUUGGAGGGCUAGUCAGUCAGCACCUUCUCAGUGGUGGCGGAGGAGGAUUGAGCCCUUCCCUGAUUUUCCAGGAUAUAAAGGCACGCACAGCUUUCUGAAGACACAUUAGGGUUUUAUUUUUGUGGCAGCAACACGUUCACCAGAGGUACAAAGAUUAUAACCCUUAAUUCAGCUUGCUAGAAGCCAUGCAGGAAUAGGCAGAGUAGUGUCACUUGAGGAAUCCUGAGCUUCUGCUGGAGAGACAGUUCUGGAUGAAUGCAUUUCUGCAGUCACUGCUCUUCCUGUUUCUCUUUCAUCUCAUUUAAAAUUGCAGAAGAGCCAAGUAUGGUUUGUUGCAGCCUUUGGCCACACGAUGGCACACAUCAGUCAAAAGAACAUUACAAUAUGAUCCGAGGAUGGAGAAGAGUUAAGGCUCUUGUUCAGGCCUGUGGUGGUCAGGACAUAUCCCUCCUGGCUGCUGUUUUGAUGCACAACUGACCCCGGUCACAGUGAGGGACAGGGAUGGUGUUUCUUCCAUAAGCUCAAAAAAUAAAAACAGAAAAAAUUUUGAAGAACAAAAGGAUCUGAAGCAGGAGCAAAAAGCAUCUCUGGCAGAAAAAUUUGGCCAUUAAAAAGGACUGGUCUGGUGUUUGUGUUGGAGCCUAAUGCAUCUGGAUGCAUUUGAUUUUGAUGGCAGAUAUGCCACUUCAGAUAGAAUAUGAUGACUGGGUAAAGCAGAAGGACUUCCUGAAAGAGGCUGAAACAAGACUGUACCUUGCCCAGAAAUGGCACAGUAAUUGGGGACACCUUGCGGAGGACGACUGAGAGAGAGAGACUGACCCAUCUCAGAGCGAGGUAUUCUGUUUUCGGGACUGCCUGUGGGAGAAAGGACUCCUUCAUGGCUGGCUGUGACACCAUCGGCUGCUGGCUGCUGCGGGCGCACGGGGCUGCGAGCAGCUGUUGAACUGCCAGGACAGUCCUGCCUUCCCCCCUCCCUCACGCUCCGGAUUGCUGCGGUUUUCUUCUCCCCCACCUGGGGAAUUGGGACUUUGUUUUGUUUCUUCUGAAAGUUUUUGAUUGCACCAUUUCUUGUUUGUUCAGAUUUUGUUAAUAAA